This 123-nucleotide small nucleolar RNA is filed under the name Castor canadensis (American beaver). RNAcentral describes it as "Small nucleolar RNA SNORA31 (ENSCCNG00000022306.1)". It matches the Rfam family "Small nucleolar RNA SNORA31". Rfam says of the family: ACA31 (SNORA31) belongs to the H/ACA class of snoRNAs which are thought to guide the sites of modification of uridines to pseudouridines. ACA31 is predicted to guide the pseudouridylation of U3713 in 28S rRNA and U218 in 18S rRNA. This family includes the mouse homologue snoMBI-161. The record is from Rfam by way of RNAcentral. Lineage: Eukaryota; Metazoa; Chordata; Mammalia; Rodentia; Castoridae.
CUGCAUUCACUGAUAGACCUUGAACAAUUUGUUGUCCUUUUAGUUUGCACUAGGAUGCAAAAGAAAAGAAUUCCUGUGCUAUCUGUCUUUGUAGCAGCCCAAAUUGAAUUGGGGAAUACAUCA